RNAcentral lists this long non-coding RNA (2707 nucleotides) under Mus musculus (house mouse). Its description in RNAcentral is "long non-coding RNA chr8:115022224-115024931". The record is from RNAcentral. Lineage: Eukaryota; Metazoa; Chordata; Mammalia; Rodentia; Muridae.
AUACCAAGGAAAACACUGUAUCUGCAUUGCAGAUACAGAAGAAUGAGCUAGGAGAUACAUUGGAAUCCCUGAUGCCAGCACCUCUCACCAUGCUGUGGAGAUCCUUUCUCCAAGUGUCCUAGGAGCUGCGGAAGGACCUCUGAGGUCCAAGCACUAAUCAACGCAGACAAAACCAGAAGCCCCUUCAUUCCCCUUUUGUUAUUACCAAUGUGAAAAAUCACCACUGUCAACUUGACAGAACCUGGAACCAGCUGCCAGAUGGUUCUCAGGACAUGCCUACAGAGAACUGCCUUGAUUACAAUGAUUACAGUGGGAAGACCACCCACUGUGGGUGGCACCAUUCCCUGGCUGGCCUCCUGGUCUGUAUAUGUGGAGAGAGGGAGCCACGCAGAAGCUUGCAUUCAUUCAUCACUCUGUCCCUAACUGUGGAUGCCAUGUGACCAGCUGCUUCAUGUUCCUGCCCCAUCGACCUCCCUGCCAUGACAGGCUGUACCUCCUGAGCCAGAAUAAACCCUGCCCCCUUAAGUUGCCUUUGUUACGUUAUUUUGAUGACAGCAACAGUAAAAGAAACUGAGAUAACCACUUUGUAAUGGGGCCUCUCUUCUAUUCCCUGUGUGGUCCUCACUCCCCUUUCAGAAGGGCACGUACGUGAAGGGUCAGAUGAGUUGCUGCAUGUGAAUAGGGUUCACGCACACAAGGCUGUGUGUAAGUCUGAGUAGUCAUCAGUGUAAGGUGAAAAGAACCCCGUGCCUUUCAGUUUCGCCUUCACUGGGUUCUCAUAGAAGAAUAUUUGUGAUGCAAGAUCUUGUGUAGCUCAGGCUGGCCUCAAAUUUCUUAAGUGGCUGAGGCUGGCCUAGAAUUUCUAAUCUUCUAGUAUCCCAUCUCUUAAGCAUUAAGAUUACAGGUAUGCACUGCUGUGCAUAGCUCUUUUAUAAACUUUUUUUAAAAGUGUGUGUGUGUGUGUGUGUGUGUGUGUGUGUGUGUGUGUGUCUAUCUGUCUGUCUGUUCAUCUGUCUACAGGACAAGUGCCAUUCAUGCAUGUGGAACUUAGAGGACAUAUUGGAUUGGGUGUCAGGCCUCACCUUCUACCUGUUUGACAUACGAUGUUUGUUUUGUUUUGUUUUGUUUUGUUUCCCACAAUCACAUAUGUCAGAUUAGCUGAUUCAUAAGCUACCAGGUAUUCUGUCUCUGCCUCCCAUCUCAUCAUAAUAGUGUCAAAUCACUGACACAACUGAACUGGCUUGGUGUAGAUUCUGGGGGACCUGAACUCGGAUCGUCAUGCUUGUCCAACAAGUGCUUUACCCACUUAGCCAUCUCUUUAGUCUCUUGCUUCAGUUAUUUUUAAUCAAAACAGGUAUGAUCAUGAACCCCGACAGUGCACACUCCUAACUCUGAGGCACUGAGCGAAAGCCUGGCACUCUUCCUGUGUUGUUUGUCUCAUGGUCGGUCCAAUUCUGAAGGGCAAUUGUGCCCUGAUUUGGGGAAAGCUGGUACAAAGUAUAGCAUAGAGUAAGGAUUCACUAGAACUGUGGUGGAAGAUUCAAUAACUGUGUAAGUGGUGGUCAUGGAAGUCCUUCUAUAAGGAAGGAUGAGGGCAGGGUCCUUCCAGCAUGCCAUCACUGUUACCAGAAGUCUAUUAAAGUCUCAGUGGAGCCCAUGGUUUCUCCUACAUCAUUCGUACAGACACUAGGGAAGAUUCCUGCUGGUCAUUAUUGAUGUUCACCAUCUUAUCUGGGGUUUGCUCAUCUAUGAUGGACCUUCAAUUCACCUAGCCCAUGAUAUCUUGCUAAGUGCAAAUUCUGGUUCAAGUGUUUCAGGAUUCUGUGUCUCAUACACAGAGCCCCAAAGCGACACCAGAGUCAUGGGACUGAGAACUCACUCUUAAGUCAAAACCUUUACAGUCCUCAACAGAGUCACUAUUGCUGUCUAGAGGCAUUUUGGAACGGUGUAGAUGCAUGCUGGAGCCUCUGGACAUUUAGUAGAUGAUGUCUACAGCUCUGUCCAGUGUCUCAAUACAACACAGCUGCCCGGAAACUGAGAACACACCCCUGGGCCACGGGGCAUGUAUGCCAGCUGGUAAGGCUUUAACUCUGAAUUCACUAUUCUUCACACAGAAACACAAUGUGUCUCAAGUCUCCCAGAAAUGCAAACACUUUCUAAACAAGGGGAAGAUUGUACUGUGUAUGUCCAAAAUGCCAACACUUAGGAGGCAUCUUGGGAGGUUCACAACAAUUUGAGCCUUGAUGACGUGUGACUUGUAUGUUUCAAGACUUACUGUAUUCACCAUUGGUGAGCACUUGCACCCUCUAGCUGCCCUCAACACCCAGGAGAACAGGUUCUUCCUAUGCUCCUCAAAUCUGCGUCCAGAGAUGCAUUGAUAACACCAUGGAAAGUGGCAAAUAUUACCCCUAAGGAUGGCUCUGUCUAUUCUUGAUCUCCAAAUAGUGGCUUCACUAUGAUGUUCCGGUUCCUUUUUUUUUUUUUUUUUUUUUCUGUUUAUUUUAUACUUCAGACUUUUUUUUUUAAUCAAUUUUUGGUUAGUUAUAUGCAUAGUGGAUUAUGUUAUUCACUAAUUUCACUCCAAAACCCCAAUAAAAACAACUAGACAUUCUUUUUCAAAUAGUUAUUUUAUCAAUAACUCUCCAUUCCCCAUACUCAUGCUAUCUAUUAACCCUCGAUAAAUUCCUUGGAUCACACACACACACAC